CCUACGGGAGGCUGCAGUGGGGAAUAUUGGGCAAUGGGCGCAAGCCUGACCCAGCAACGCCGCGUGAAGGAAGAAGGCUUUCGGGUUGUAAACUUCUUUUCUCAGGGACGAAGAAAGUGACGGUACCUGAGGAAUAAGCCACGGCUAACUACGUGCCAGCAGCCGCGGUAAUACGUAGGUGGCAAGCGUUAUCCGGAUUUACUGGGUGUAAAGGGCGUGUAGGCGGGACUGCAAGUCAGAUGUGAAAACCACGGGCUCAACCUGUGGCCUGCAUUUGAAACUGUAGUUCUUGAGUACUGGAGAGGCAGACGGAAUUCCUAGUGUAGCGGUGAAAUGCGUAGAUAUUAGGCGGAACACCAGUGGCGAAGGCGGCCUGCUGGACGAUGACUGACGUUGAGGCUCGAAAGCGUGGGGAGCAAACAGGAUUAGAUACCCUGGUAGUC
Molecule: ribosomal RNA, 443 nt
Filed under: uncultured bacterium
Lineage: Bacteria
Description: partial 16S ribosomal RNA
Rfam family: Bacterial small subunit ribosomal RNA
Source: RNAcentral